GUGAAUCAUCAAAUUUUUGAACGCAAAUUGCACUCUCUUCGGAGAGUAUGCCUGUUUGAGGGUCAGCCUAAAAAAAAUCGACAUUGUUGCUGUUAUUUAAUGGUGACUUUCGUCGGAGAUUGGGUUAUCUUAAACCUUUUUUUUUUUUGGUUUAAGCGUCUUAAAUUUUUUCUUCACGUUUCUAUGAACGUUUCUAAGAUUUUUUUUUCUUAUACGUUUAAGUUUUAUCGAUUUUUUAUUAGACGUGACCGUCGCAUCGGCUCGCGUCCAUAAUUU
RNAcentral lists this unclassified non-coding RNA (276 nucleotides) under Glomeraceae sp. RNAcentral describes it as "partial contains 5.8S ribosomal RNA and internal transcribed spacer 2". The stretch from base 1 to 65 matches the Rfam family "5.8S ribosomal RNA", at positions 84 to 154 of the family's 154-position model. The record is from RNAcentral. Lineage: Eukaryota; Fungi; Glomeromycota; Glomeromycetes; Glomerales; Glomeraceae.